UCCAGUUGAUCCUGCUGGAGGCUGCUGCUAUUGGGUUACGACUAAGCCAUGCAAGUCUAGGGGGUUUUCGGACCACCGGCGCAAUGCUCAGUAACACGUUGUUAAUCUGCCCUUAGGUCUGGGACAGCCUUGGGAAACUGAGGGUAAACCCGGAUAGGGGAGUUGUUCUGGAAAGAAUUUUCCCUUAAAGGCAACGCCUAAGGAUGAGACAGCGGCCGAUUAGGUUGAUGGUGGGGUAAUGGCCCACCAUGCCGAUGAUCGGUAGGGGCCUUGGAAGAGGUAGCCCCGAGAAGGGAACUGAGAUACAUUCCCUAGCCCCACGGGGUGCAGCAGGCGCGAAACCUUUACAAUGCACGAAAGUGUGAUAGGGGUAACCCAAGUGCUCAUACACUGUAUGGGCUUUUUUGCUAAGUGUAAAUAACUUGGCGAAUAAGCGGUGGGUAAGACUGGUGCCAGCCGCCGCGGUAACACCAGCGCCGCAAGUGGGAGCCGUUUUUAUUGGGCCUAAAGCGUCCGUAGCAGGUUGAGCAAAUCUCUCGUGAAAUUGUCGAGCUUAACUCGGCAGCGCGCGGGAGACACUACUCAACUAGGGACCGGGAGGAGUGAGAGGUAUUUCGGGGGGAGCGGUAAAAUGCUAUAAUCCUCGAAGGACCACCGAUGGCGAAGGCAUCUCACCAGAACGGAUCCGACUGUGAGGGACGAAAGCUAGGGGAGCGAACCGGAUUAGAUACCCGGGUAGUCCUGGCCGUAAACGCUGCGAGCUAGGUGUUGCGUAAACUUCGUGUUUGCGCAGUAUCGUAGAGAAGUUGUUAAGCUCGCCGCCUGGGAAGUAUGGUCGCAAGGCUGAAACUUAAAGGAAUAGGCGGGGAAGCACUACAAGGAGUGCGGCGUGCGGUUUAAUCUAACUCUACGCAGAGAAUCUCACCAGGGGCGCCGGCAGGAUGAAAGUCAGAUUAAAGGUUUUAUUUGACGAGCCGAGAGGUGGUGCAUGGCGGCCGUCAGCUCGUGCCGUAAGGUGUCCUGUUAAGUCAGGUAACGAGCGAGACCUGUGCCUACAAUUGCCAGCGGGUACUUUUGUAUGACCGGGCACAUUGUAGGGACUGCCUUGGUAACAAGGAGGAAGGUGCAGGCUACGGUACGUCUGUAUGCCCCGAAUCUCCUGGGCUACACGCGCGCAACAAUGGCAGAGACAAUGGGCUGCGACCCCGAAAGGGGAAGCUAAUCCUCGAAACUCUGUCCAAGUUCAGAUUGAGGGUUGUAACUCACCCUCAUGACGAUGGAAUUCCUAGUAAUGGGGUGUUAUCAGCGCCCCGUGAAUACGUCCCUGCUUCUUGCACUCACCGCCCGUCAAACCAUUCGAGCAGGGUUUAGGUGAGGACUAGUUUUUUGAUUAGUUCGAACCUAGUCUCAGUGAGAAGGGUUAAGUCGUUAUAAGGUA
This 1438-nucleotide ribosomal RNA is filed under the name metagenome. RNAcentral's name for it is "bacterial SSU rRNA". It matches the Rfam family "Archaeal small subunit ribosomal RNA". The record is from RNAcentral.